RNAcentral lists this ribosomal RNA (404 nucleotides) under Actinomycetes bacterium. RNAcentral describes it as "Actinobacteria bacterium partial 16S ribosomal RNA". It matches the Rfam family "Bacterial small subunit ribosomal RNA", at positions 355 to 776 of the family's 1533-position model. Lineage: Bacteria; Bacillati; Actinomycetota; Actinomycetes. The record is from RNAcentral.
UGGGGAAUAUUGGACAAUGGGCGCAAGCCUGAUCCAGCCAUGCCGCGUGAGUGAUGAAGGCCCUAGGGUUGUAAAGCUCUUUCACCGGUGAAGAUAAUGACGGUAACCGGAGAAGAAGCCCCGGCUAACUUCGUGCCAGCAGCCGCGGUAAUACGAAGGGGGCUAGCGUUGUUCGGAUUUACUGGGCGUAAAGCGCACGUAGGCGGACUAUUAAGUCAGGGGUGAAAUCCCGGGGCUCAACCCCGGAACUGCCUUUGAUACUGGUAGUCUUGAGUUCGAGAGAGGUGAGUGGAAUUCCGAGUGUAGAGGUGAAAUUCGUAGAUAUUCGGAGGAACACCAGUGGCGAAGGCGGCUCACUGGCUCGAUACUGACGCUGAGGUGCGAAAGCGUGAGGAGCAAACAGG